ACGGGAGGCAGCAGUGAGGAAUAUUGGUCAAUGGGCGGAAGCCUGAACCAGCCAUGCCGCGUGAGGGACGAAUGCCCUAUGGGUUGUAAACCUCUUUUGCCGCAGAGUAAUAAGGGUCCUGCGGGGCCCGAUGAGAGUAUGCGGCGAAUAAGCAUCGGCUAACUCCGUGCCAGCAGCCGCGGUAAUACGGAGGAUGCAAGCGUUAUCCGGAUUUACUGGGUGUAAAGGGCGUGUAGGCGGGACAUCAAGUCAGAUGUGAAAGCACGAGGCUCAACUUCGUGUCUGCAUUUGAAACUGACGUUCUUGAGUGUUGGAGAGGCUAACGGAACUCCUAGUGUAGCGGUGAAAUGCGUAGAUAUUAGGAAGAACACCAGUGGCGAAGGCGGUUAGCUGGACAAUAACUGACGCUGAGGCGCGAAAGCGUGGGUAGCAAACAGGAUUAGAUACCCUGGUA
RNAcentral lists this ribosomal RNA (454 nucleotides) under uncultured Oscillospiraceae bacterium. RNAcentral describes it as "bacterial SSU rRNA". It matches the Rfam family "Bacterial small subunit ribosomal RNA", at positions 341 to 792 of the family's 1533-position model. The record is from RNAcentral. Lineage: Bacteria; Bacillati; Bacillota; Clostridia; Eubacteriales; Oscillospiraceae.